RNAcentral lists this transfer RNA (72 nucleotides) under Bambusiphaga luodianensis. RNAcentral describes it as "tRNA-Val". Lineage: Eukaryota; Metazoa; Arthropoda; Insecta; Hemiptera; Delphacidae. The record is from RNAcentral.
GCGGGUAUAUUCUAGGGGGAAGUAAUUUUUUACAAUAAUUAAUUUAAGCUGUUCGAUUCAGCUUUAUCUGAA